RNAcentral lists this small RNA (420 nucleotides) under Pan troglodytes (chimpanzee). RNAcentral describes it as "processed transcript". Lineage: Eukaryota; Metazoa; Chordata; Mammalia; Primates; Hominidae. The record is from RNAcentral.
UGUGGAUGAGCUGGAGAGGAUCAGGAGGAGCAUGCUGCCCUAUGGGGACAGCAUGGAUAGAAUAGAAAAGGACCGCCGCCAGGGCAUGGCACCCGCGGCGGGAGCAGACCUGGACAAAAUUGGGCUGCACAGUGACAGCCAGGAGGAGCUCUGGAUGUUCGUGAGGAAGAAGCUAAUGAUGGAACAGGAAAAUGGAAAUCUCCGAGGAAGCCCUGGCCCUAAAGGUAUUGCCAUGGAUUGAACCUUGUCUCUGAUUCAUUUCCUGCAGUUGGAAGUGAGUUUUCUGGGUAGAUUAGAAACCUUUUUCUUUGUUCUAAAUGGAAGGAUGAAGAGCUGAAUGAUCUUAUGGUAUCUGUUGGGAGGUAUCUGUUGGUUUUAGAGUCAGAAUAUCUUAGAUAAGGCAGCAUCUAAGAGAAGCCC